Molecule: unclassified non-coding RNA, 387 nt
Filed under: soil metagenome
Description: partial contains 5.8S ribosomal RNA, internal transcribed spacer 2, and large subunit ribosomal RNA
Rfam family: 5.8S ribosomal RNA (bases 1-120)
Source: RNAcentral
GAUGAAGAACGUAGCGAAAUGCGAUAAGUAAUGUGAAUUGCAGAAUUCAGUGAAUCAUCGAAUCUUUGAACGCACCUUGCGCUCCUUGGUAUUCCGAGGAGCAUGCCUGUUUGAGUGUCAUGAAAUUCUCAACCUUUUCAGCUUUCUUUGUUGAUCAGGCUUGGAUGUGGGAGGAUGCGGGCUUCUCAGAAGUCGGCUCUCCUGAAAUGCAUUAGCGGGACCUUUGUUGCCUGGCUUUGGUGUGAUAAUUAUCUACGCCAUUGUAGUCAAGCAGCUUAAAAUGAGGUUUCAGCUUCUAACCGUCUCCCCUGAGACAACUUUUUGACAAUUUGACCUCAAAUCAGGUAGGACUACCCGCUGAACUUAAGCAUAUCAAUAAGCGGAGGA